This 464-nucleotide ribosomal RNA is filed under the name uncultured Diversispora. Its description in RNAcentral is "SSU rRNA". It matches the Rfam family "Eukaryotic small subunit ribosomal RNA", at positions 569 to 1032 of the family's 1831-position model. The record is from RNAcentral. Lineage: Eukaryota; Fungi; Glomeromycota; Glomeromycetes; Diversisporales; Diversisporaceae.
AGCAGCCGCGGUAAUUCCAGCUCCAAUAGCGUAUAUUAAAGUUGUUGCAGUUAAAAAGCUCGUAGUUGAACUUUGGGAUUUGCCCAUUGGUCAGGCUUAGCUGUCUGCACUGGUGUGACGAGUUCCUACCUUCUGAGGAAUCUCCAUGUCAUUCAGUUGGUGUGGGGGGAAAUCAGGACUGUUACUUUGAAAAAAUUAGAGUGUUUAAAGCAGGCAUCCGUCUGAAUACAUUAGCAUGGAAUAAUAAAAUAGGACGGUUUGGUUCUAUUUUGUUGGUUUCUAGGAUCACCGUAAUGAUUAAUAGGGAUAGUUGGGGGCAUUAGUAUUCAAUUGUCAGAGGUGAAAUUCUUGGAUUUAUUGAAGACUAACUACUGCGAAAGCAUUUGCCAAGGAUGUUUUUCAUUAAAUCAAGAACGAAAGUUAGGGGAUCGAAGACGAUCAGAUACCGUCGUAGUCUUAAACCA